CGCUGCAGUUAGCGUUACGGUCCGUUCUGCAAUCCAAACAUCCGAUGGAGCCCCUAUCCUGCACGCCCGCAGAACCGUGCCACCGCCCCUCCCGAGACUUCCGCCACGCCUCCCCACCGUGCGAGAUUGCCGCCCCCGGCCGCGAGUGUGCUGUGUGCCCGUCGAGACAACUGUUGUCUCCUUCCCCAACCUGCAGAAUCGUGCCCACCACCGCCACCUCUCGCGCGAGGCCCGGGUCUGCGGCCACCGGCACAGCCAGCAUCCUUCCCUGCCUGCUCGCUAUGCAUCAUGUCCGCGUUCAGCGAGACAACCGUCGUCCUCCCUUGCUGAGUUAAGUCUCCUUGUGUGCAGAUGAAGGCAAUGGAGUAUGGAUCUGUGCCAGUAUAGAUAAGCUUUUCCAGCUAUGAAUCAAGGUAAAAACGAAAAAGCACUAAUUUGGGCAAUCCAUCAGUUUGAUAUGAUUUAGUUGAAAUGUUUUUUGUAUCCAGAGUGAGUAGAAACCGCAUGACUAUGAGAAGCUUGAGUAUGGGCCAAAGUAGGAUUUACAUCAGUUAAUUGACGGUUAUAUAUGUUACGUACAAGUUAUAAGCUUUUCCAUUUAUAUGUACUUGUAACCAGGGGGGUCAGAGGUGUAUGGUUGUCGCAAUACAACAAUGUCUCUAUACAUCAUCUCAACCUAUGGAGAUUUGUCUCUUUCUCAAGCACUUGAUGACUUUGUAAGUUUGCAAUCUCAAGGGAGAAUAGCUAUCCUGUCACGGGCUGUUCAUUGUGCACAAUCAACAUCUCUUAAUAGAUCAAAUAAUGUUCUGAACAACAGCAUAGGUCAAAGUUGCAAUCGGAAGGCUCAGGAAGCUGAUUGAGUGAAGCUAUCUUAUUUUCUGACGUUACUUGCUUCUUGAAUUUAACAUAAUUUACUUCCCAAUGUGCAGAACAAUGACCCUUUGCAUUGGGAUCGACAGAUCAAGGGUGGGAUGGUUAGGGGUUCGUUGCGGCCAUAGCCUUCAUUGCAAGGCUUAUUCCUCCAUAAGGAAGCUGUGAACUGGGCAUCUGCUAGAGAACCACAUGACCUACAUGAGGCACCAACUCCUGAAAUUAAGGGUACCAUUUUUUGGCAUAUAAUUAGACUCAUUUAAUUUCUUAGAUGAACAUUUAAUCAAGCAAAAUGUUUUUUCAACCUAUCAGAUAGUUGGGUGCAUUAUUCAAUGCUAGAUGCCUGAUAACAUGUUUGUGGUGUGUAGGUACAAGUAUCUUAUUUUUAAAGGAGGGAGAGCAAGGAUCUGUAGCCUUGAGACCCCAUACAGAUAGAUGCACAAUAUGUGUGAACAAAAAAAAACAAACAAGAAUUAUUUCCUAUAAAAAUAUAUGUACAAAUCUGUGUUGGAUGAUUCUAAUCUUUGAACACAGGGCUUUCAUUGCUUCGGAUUUGGAUUUCUGUGGUUUAUAUGUGCAUCAAUUGUCAUGUUGCCUGUGUCAGCUUAUUCACCUCGUGCUUGCACAUGUAAAUAAUUAACUUAUUAUUGGGUUCAUGCUCUGCAUAAAUAACGUCAAGUCGAUUAAAAUCUUGAAGUAAUUUAUUCCAAAGGUCAGGUGUCUAUUUGACUUGAUGGUAUGUAUCUAAACAAACUACAGUUAUUUAGAAGUAGUUAGCAAAAAAUCGCAUUCAUGUUCAUGGUACUAAAACUUUGAAAGCUGGAAAGCAACGGGUUGUAUCUUCAUUAAGCUAUUCUCAAUGGUAGUUUCAUACACAUUUAAUAGUGUACCAUAUUAGUUUUUUUGGUGACAUGACAUUAUUUAAGAGGAUUGAGUUUCAUGGAAUGAAAUUAGUUUUAUUUGGAUGAAACCAUGUCAACUCGUUUAUAAGGUCUUGAAAACCGUGUGAAACCUUCAUUGAGAGUGAUUUGUUUCAUGUUCAUAUAAUUUACUAACUUUUAUUGGUCAUUGAGUUACGACAUUUAAUUAGUAUGUUAGGCUAUAAAAUAGUGACGUAAAAUAUUGCAUUAAGAGACAUUGUUUCAUUCAUAGUUUUAUAGCACUUAUGAUGAUGUGACAACGUUGGAAAGAGUACCACGAAACUCCCAUUAUAAAUAGCCUUAAUUGACAUCCAACUAAAUAUUAAAAGUCACUUUCAUCUAUUAAUUUCUAAAUCUCGGUUGCCCAUUGAACUGAAGAAAACCGUUAGGGAAAUAUACAUUUUCAGUUUUAAUUUAAUUCAGAAAAUCAGAGUGAUGUAUGUGAUGACAUAUAUGUGCAUAUGUAUCACUACUCACAUAAGAAGUAAACAACAGUAAAAUAUGCACAAAUAUAAAGAACAGAUUGUACACUGCGGAGGGAGCGAUGCUUAAGGCAUCAGUGGCUCCAUUCAAACGAGAUAUCUCGUGUGUAUGUUCGAUAUAGUCGUACGCAGUCGAUGCAAGCAGUAUAGUCCCUCGAACGGCGCUGGUCGAGCGAACGAAGCGAGCAGUCGCGAGUACGCUCCCCAAAAACCUGAUCGCUCGCACACCCAAGCAAGUGUCGCUCUGCGUACGACGAUUUCGGAGGCCUGCUCUCCCACACUCUAUGCUCGCAGAAGGUGGGACGAGAAAUGUUCGGUGUUCGUACGUAUUGUUGUAACCCGAAGCAGUCUCACCUCCUCUGUAUAUAUACACGCGCAGAGGAAGACCAAUGGCUAGUAACGGUUGCCAUCAGAGCUACCGUUACAGCCAGCGAGAAACUGACGCAACACAGUAGUAAUGGACGGUCAUCACUCUAGGCAAAAUGUGCAACUGUUAGGAAGGAAUAUUCAAACCAAUAUCCAAUCUACCACGGCCCAGCCCGGCCAGCGGCGUGCAUGUGGCAGUUCUUCAUUCUUUCUUAGUUUCUCAAUAGAUACACCUAUUUAAGUUGAUUGAAGUGUCCUUUAAACUUCCGAUAUGAUACUAAAAUACUAGUACAUUGUAGCAUUAAAGUAAGCCUUUAGCAUCGGAUAUUAUUGAAUAUUAAUUUAGGCCAGACUCACAUUAAUUAAUUCAUUCAACAGAAACAACAUGUGCCCAGAUAUUGACAAGUCUAAGUUAAAGGACAAAAUAAGGAUCGAUUGGUAAUAUCAUCAGUGCAUGUACUAUCUUCAUAUGUAAAGAUCAAACAUCACCCAUAGUGAAUACUCCCUCCGUUUCUUUUUAGUUGUCGCUGGAUAGUUCAAUUUUACACUAUCCAGCGACAUCUAAAACGAAACGGAGGGAGUAGUACGGGACAACCACAUUCCACAAAUUUUCCUAUUACUUCAUUAGUAAGAAGGGAUUCAGAGCCAUCUGAUCGUUUGACUCGCGAAAGGGGUGGACGAGGAGAAAGCAACCAGCAACUCUCGAGGAUAGCGGUCGCCACCGUAUAGUAGGUAGAAAAUGCCGCCGUCGGUACGCGGGCGACGAGCAACGACCAUGCAUGCGGGCACGUGGCGACGACCGACCUGGUGAGCCAUCGCCAUCGCCGCCGCGCAAGCAACCGGCACGUACAGGCGAGAACCAGACACCACCGCCACGCGGGCGCGCGAGCCAGCACCGAGCGAAGAGGAGGAUGGGGAAGGAGGGACAAAAUGACAUGCGGCGGAACCCAUGUAUAUCAGUGAUAGGGAGAGAGACGAUGGGACGAGAAGGAAACACGUAACCUUUCAACGAAACACGUGACAAUAUGACAUGUUCCAGACCCCCCAAAAAAAAUCUGUUCGAAGCGGCUGCCCCUAGCUUGCUAUCGGGAGGAUGCCGGGGCUAGCAAUGGGUCUAUUUGGUUGAGCUUUUUUAAUCAAUUAUUUUAAAAUUUUAGCUGUAGAGAGAAUUUGGCUAUGCGAAGGAUCUUAAUAUUGUGAGAAUUAUGUACGAAAGAAGGUGAAGUAGUCCAAAUGAUUCAAGAUCUAGAAAGCAAUGGAUUAUCACAAUCGUAAUGACUUGAUCGAUUCUGUGUUUAUAUUGAUUUUGAACGAUUUUUAACAAAACGAUUCUUAUAAAAUCGGGCUACAAAGUUAGUGUAUUUGACACUCUGCAACAGUUUUUGGUGGUCAGAAGCUAAAAAAAAGACAAAACAAAUAGGAUAUGUGGGCAAGCUGCACGAGAAUGGUGCAGGCUUCGUAUCACCAAACACAAAAACAUUAGACGAUUGAAAGUGGAAAAUAAAAACAUUAGACGAUUGAAAGUGGAAAAUACGCGUAAUAGCUAGCCAACUGGGCCUAUAUGUGGCCAAUGCGGCACAGCCCGAGCCCGUCACGGUCCAGGCCGAGGCACAUCACAAAUAAAUAGCGGGUCGUGCCGUGUCCGUUCGUGGGUUGAAACCUAAAUACAUGCAUGGUCUGACUAGUUUUAAAUGUGUCACACUAGACUAUCAUGUCUAACGGUCCACGACUCGUCUUGUAACAAAGUUUGAAAAUAACUUAUUUCCCCCUAUUUUUAUUGGACGCUUUUCUUCAUUUUUUUAACACACCUUGAAAAUAGCAUGAAAGUGAGAAUCAAGUCAGCCAUAGAUCUAUAUAUGGUGGACUAGAUUGGGGCGAGUAAGCUCAGGCCAUGGCUUGAUGGGCUAUCUGUGCCUAGCAUCGGACUAAAUGGGCCGACGGUACAUGUGUCAUGCAUGUGCCGUCUAGGAGACCGUUGGACAUAACGUUAUGUCCGACCCUGAGCCAUCGGAUAUAACCUUAUGUCCGACGGCCGACUAGGAGGCCGUAAGACAUAACAGAGCCGUCGAAACUCUGCCAUUUUACUGUUGUUAUUGAAAAGAUAUAUAAAGUAAUUUUUAUGCAAAUAAUAGAUAAUAAUUUAGAGAGUGAAAUUUAGUUUUUUUAAGAUGCCCUUAUAUAGUACUAUUUUUGUAAAGGUGAAAGAAAAUUAUAUCUUUGUAAUCAAGGUAAUCAUAUGUAUUGUAAAUAAUAUAUUUAUAUAAAACAUAGAAUAACUAGGUAGAUCAAUUAGUUGGAUCUAGAACGUUUUCAUUGUAUUGGUGAAUGGUGGAUACAUAAGCUUCUUUGUGACCUAAAAAAAUAAUAUACAUACUACUAUUUUUGGCUUUAGUAACCUGAUGUACAUAUAGCCACUACCGGAAUCAAUCGCUUUGCCGAGUGCCUGAAGCACUCGGCGAAGCCUUAAAAACACUCGGCAAAGGCUUUGCCGAGUGUGACACUCGGCAAAAAAGGCUCGGCAAACAGUGCAUCGACAAAGCCUUCUUUGCCGAGUGCUUUUUCUCGGGCACUCGGCAAACCUCUUUGCCGAGUGCCAGAGAGCACUCGGCAAAGAAGGCUCGGCAAACAGUGCAUCGACAAAGCCUUCUUUGCCGAGUGCUUUUUCUCGGAAACUCGGCAAACCUCUUUGCCGAGUGCCAGAGAGCACUCGACAAAGAAAAGCGGCCGUUACGGCGCCGGGUGACGGAGACGGCGGCUUUGCCGAGUGUCCCUGGUGACACUCGACAAAGAAGUUAUCUUUGUCGAGUGUCUUCCAGGCCGCACUCGGCAAAGAAUCCAUCUUUGCCGAGUGCCACUUGGGACACUCGGCAAAGAACCCGCCAGGGAGGGUCCCCAUGUCAGGCUCUUUGCCGAGUGUUCUGUGCGGCACUCGGCAAAGCCGACCUCUUUGCCGAGUGCCAGCGACAUAACACUUGGCAAAGAACCUAAGCCGGUGCCCAGGUCUGUGCUCUUUGCCGAGUGUUAUGACCCUGACACUCGGCAAAGCGCCUCUUUGCCGAGUGUUACACUCGGCAAAGCGCCUCUUUGCCGAGUGUUACACUCGGCAAAGUGAGCAGUAUAUACCUUUUUUAUUUGUUUUUUAUAUUCCAUCCACACAAACAGAAGAUAUCACAUAUAUACAUCACAGAUAUCAUCACAGACAUAAAUAGCCAACACAAACAUAAAACUGUCACCACAAACAUAAAUAUCCAUCACAAACAUAAGUGUUCAACACAAGUAUUAAACACAAACAUAAGUCUCAAACGUCGCAAGCUCUCACAUAAGUAUCAAACACAGACAUAAGUAUUAUACAUAAGUUCUGAAGUCUAAAACAAUGAAAACACAACACUCAUGGAGGUGGGCGAUUUGACCGGGGCUGCGUUGGGCUGAACCCUUCCGGAGGGUUGUUGGAUGCCGCCCCAGAUUGGCCCUGCACAGAGAAGAGAUUGCAUGUGUUAUACCAGAUACAUUACAAACAUCUAACUACAGUUUUGAUACUCACAGGAGUGUGGAAGAGAGCAGGGUCAACUGGAGGGAACAAUGGAGGUGGCGGAGCGAUGCCCUGUGCGGCGCCAAGGCUCUGCAUGUACUGGAACAUCUCCGCCAUCCUCUGAUGAUCUGCCCGGCGCUCCGCCUCCCGCUUCGCCAUCAUCCUCGUCUCCAUCUCGUGACGUUCCCUCCUCUCUUCUUCUAGUUGGGUCUAUAAUAUUACAAGCCAACGUUAUAGUAACUCAAAGAGUAGGUAUAUAACUCAAGGAAGGACGAGUUACAGAAGCACUAACCUCGAGUUGCUGUAUGCAAUGCUGUGAGCUGUCGUGCCGAGGUCGUAUGGCUGGACUCGAGCCCGUGCUCUUUGCUCUCACCUGAGACAGAGUGGGAGUGGAGGACGAGUCGAUUGCCCCGUCGGCAAUCCAGUACCGCCCAUGUCUCUUGCCUCCUCCGACCCUCAUGAGCACAUCGGGGUCGAUCGGCUCGGUACUCGGAUCAUAGUCUGGGUCAUGGACCUCCUGCGCUAUGGCGGUGUAGUCAUGGAGGCGACUGUAGACGGCGGGGUUGGUGUAGGCCUCGGGCCCGUCAUCCGGGUUGUAGGUUUGCCGAGAGCCUAACUUUACCGAGUGCGGCUCUCGGCAGAGCCUUCUUUGCCGAGUGCCCGACAAAAGGCACUCGGCAAAGAAUCCAACACUCGGCAAAGCCUCGGAUUCUGGUAGUGAGCAAAAUCUUGCGAUGGCUUCCAUUGGCGCUAGAAAAGGCAAGAAGCUAAGACGGCUGCUGGAGCAACCUGCGCAACAAGACUUCGAGAGACAACCACUGUACCAGGUAACCUAUCCGAAGCAGCAACACAGUUUCCAGGCAAGAAGACGAAGAAAUUUAAAAGCUAAGAGCCCCAGAAAAUGAAAACCCCGAGCCAGAUGCGGACGCACGGGGGGUCCCUAAUCUCGGAGUUCACGACAACAACCAUCGCAGGCAGAGCUCCAGCCGGGCACAAUCAUGGCGCGGCCGACCCUUGGCCUCACGCGACCGGCCGGAGAUGAGGUGUUCGUGGCCCUGGCCAUGGUGGGCACAAUCAUAGCCUAAGGCCCUGUUCGUUUAUAUCGGAUUACACCCGGAAUCGUUCCGUCUAAACAAAGUUUAUAUAAAUUAGAGAAGCAAUCCGGUUAGAAAUCGUUCCGAUCCACCAAUCUGGUGGAAACGAACAAGCCCUAAGUGACAAACGAAACCGAACCUUAGACAUGUACUUUGAUGUAGAACAGACGAAGAAAUUUUUUAACCACAUCCUGAAAUUAGCUCUUACGGGCAGUCAAAUUCUAGGGGUGGGCGUUCGGGUUACCCGAAAAUUUCGGGUCGGGUAAUUCGGGUUUUUAAAAUUUCGAGUUUUGAGAAUCGAUACCCGAAAUUACAACGGGUUUUGCAAUACCCGAAAUUUCGGGUUCGGGUUCGGGUAUUCCCGAACUACCCGAACUAUUGUGUCACCUUCAUAAAAACACAUACACCCUAUUAAAUUAGUAUAAAAAUAUAGUUUGAAUAAUGAUACACAUGGACAUAUAAAACACAAGCAAUCUACAAUCACAAGUUAUGCAUACAUACACAUAAUUAUAAAUGUACAAAUUAAUAAUUAAGCAUGACAUGAGUACAUGACACAUUAAAGUUCGGGUAAUUCGGGUACCCGAUUGUGAUACCCGAAUUACCCGAACUAAAUUCGGGUUUUGCAAGUUGCUACCCGAAAUUCCCGAACAAAAUUCGGGUUUCGGGUAUUUCGGGUUCGGGUUCGGAUAUUCCGGGUUCGAGUUUCGGGUUACGGGUUUUUUUGCCCAGUCCUAAGUGUGCCCGUCGAGACAACUGUUGUCUCCUUCCCCAACCUGCAGAAUCGUGCCCACCACCGCCACCUCUCGCGCGAGGCCCGGGUCUGCGGCCACCGGCACAGCCAGCAUCCUUCCCUGCCUGCUCGCUAUGCAUCAUGUCCGCGUUCAGCGAGACAACCGUCGUCCUCCCUUGCUGAGUUAAGUCUCC
Molecule: long non-coding RNA, 8185 nt
Filed under: Zea mays
Lineage: Eukaryota; Viridiplantae; Streptophyta; Magnoliopsida; Poales; Poaceae
Description: long non-coding RNA (ZMAY_LNC000196)
Source: RNAcentral